This 495-nucleotide ribosomal RNA is filed under the name uncultured bacterium. Its description in RNAcentral is "partial 16S ribosomal RNA". It matches the Rfam family "Bacterial small subunit ribosomal RNA", at positions 28 to 507 of the family's 1533-position model. The record is from RNAcentral.
GACGAACGCUGGCGGCGUGCCUAAUACAUGCAAGUAGAACGCUGAAGGAGGAGCUUGCUUCUCUGGAUGAGUUGCGAACGGGUGAGUAACGCGUAGGUAACCUGCCUGGUAGCGGGGGAUAACUAUUGGAAACGAUAGCUAAUACCGCAUAAGAGUAGAUGUUGCAUGACAUUUGCUUAAAAGGUGCAAUUGCAUCACUACCAGAUGGACCUGCGUUGUAUUAGCUAGUUGGUGAGGUAACGGCUCACCAAGGCGACGAUACAUAGCCGACCUGAAAGGGUGAUCGGCCACACUGGGACUGAGACACGGCCCAGACUCCUACGGGAGGCAGCAGUAGGGAAUCUUCGGCAAUGGACGGAAGUCUGACCGAGCAACGCCGCGUGAGUGAAGAAGGUUUUCGGAUCGUAAAGCUCUGUUGUAAGAGAAGAACGAGUGUGAGAGUGGAAAGUUCACACUGUGGCGGUAUCUUACCAGAAAGGGACGGCUAACUACGUG